GAUAAACGCCGGCGGCGUGCCUAAUACAUGCAAGUCGAACGGGAGCAGCAAUGCUCCAGUGGCGUACGGGUGAGUAACACGUUGGUAACCUGCCCCCGGAGACCGGGAAUACCAGGAGGAAACCCCUGCUAAUGCCGGAUGAUGCCGGAAGGGCGCAAGCCUUUCCGGCCAAAGGCGGCCUCUAAAGCCGCGCCCCGGGAUGGACCUGCGUCGCAUUAGCUAGUUGGCGGGAUAGAGGCCCACCAAGGCUGGGAUGCGUAGCCGAGCUGAGAGGCUGAUCGGCCACAUUGGGACUGAGACACGGCCCAGACUCCUACGGGAGGCAGCAGUGGGGAAUAUUGCACAAUGGGGGAAACCCUGAUGCAGCGACGCCGCGUGGAGGAAGAAGGUCUUCGGAUUGUAAACUCCUGUUGUUGAGGAAGAUAAUGACGGUACUCAACAAGGAAGUGACGGCUAACUACGUG
Molecule: ribosomal RNA, 464 nt
Filed under: uncultured bacterium
Lineage: Bacteria
Description: bacterial SSU rRNA
Rfam family: Bacterial small subunit ribosomal RNA
Source: RNAcentral